RNAcentral lists this non-coding RNA (528 nucleotides) under Pongo abelii (Sumatran orangutan). Lineage: Eukaryota; Metazoa; Chordata; Mammalia; Primates; Hominidae. The record is from RNAcentral.
GCGCGUUCGCAGCGGGCGAUGUUAGUGGGCUUGGGUGUUGGGUGAAGUAUCCAGGUUGGGUGCUUCCAGCGCUUUCUGUGGCGGGGGAAUGAGGGCCUAGGUCAGGGAAUAGGAGGGUGUAUCGCCUCCGGAGUGCGGAACACCCUCGCCUUGAGGGUUCCCACAGUGACUUGCAAAAGUCUAGUGAGACCCGAGAAGGCUGAGGCGGGACACGAAGCAUGUGGUUCUUGUGGUUGCGACGCUCGUGCCGCCAUCUUGGGUGCUGGCGGCGGAAACCGGUACCCUAACUUCCUCUCGGUGCGAACCUGGAGAAGCCACCCCAGCUGUGAGGGACGGUUGCGCCUCAUGGCCCAGGCAAGGGUACCUUCGCUGGAGCAGUUCCGCGGACGGAUAUCAUGAGGGUGGUGGGACGUUGGUGGAACGUUGAUGGUGUGAGAGGCUGGACUGGAACUCCUGGACUCAAGCGAUCUUCCCAUUUAGCAGGGACUACUGACGCGUGUCUCCCAAUAAAUGCCUGAGUAUAAACAA